This is a long non-coding RNA of Cyanistes caeruleus (blue tit), 1582 nucleotides long. NCBI's taxonomy places the organism in Eukaryota, Metazoa, Chordata, Aves, Passeriformes, Paridae. The record is from Ensembl.
AUCCCUAGGCUCCACACAAAGUCCCAUCUUGGUGACACUUUCCUAUCCAGGGGAGAAUGGGUCUCUGACUGUUGGUGCACAUCAAAUGUGCAGGCUGGCCAGUUCGCAGCAGUGCCAUGGUUGAGGAAGCUCUGUUAAAUUCACAUGGGUUUUGUUGCCAGCAGCUCCUCUGGUUCAGUUCUGGCCAAAGAGUCCCUGUUAAAUAUAACAGAGUCACAGGAGGCAAAGGGUUGCUUAGCCCUGCUGGAGGAGCCUGCAAUAAACUGCAUCAGAGGAGUGCUCAGAAGUAAAUCUGCUCACCCCUGCAUGAGGAUCUUGGCACAAAUUUAGGUAAAUUGAACUGUCUGGCUCCAUGGCCACCAUGGUCUUUGCUAGGGACAAGGAAAGCUAAGUGCCAGAGGCACACACAGGGCUUGUGUUUGGAUCACAGCCUGAAUGAGAGGUUGUUUGAUACAAUAAACUCCCCCUGGGAAAUGGACACAUGUGGAGGCUGAGGCUUUGUCCCAGACAGUUCCUUCUUCCCCAUGGAGUGUUUUUUUGGCUGAAUGAGGGCACUGAGAGGCUCCUGCAGUAGAUUCCUAUGCCCUGGCCCUUCUCUGUGCAUGCUCUGCUCAGCUUAAGGUCACUCAUGGACAGCACAGGGAGCAGCAUCCCAGCCACUGGCUCGGUCCCACAGCCCCUUCUCAUCUGCACCAACUCUCAGGAGAUGCAAGUACCAGCAGGACUACCCCAAAAGUGAAUUAUUUUUUAAUUGCUGGGGCUGGGCAGCAGCCACAGCUUGAAUGGGGAAACUGAAAUGGUGGCCAGGCUUUUCCAAAGCUUUUGUGAUAGGUCACAAUUGAGCAGCAAAGUGGCUGGAUGCCCUUUCCAGUUCCAGCCUGACAUGGGAGGCCUUACCAAUGGUGCAGCACCAUCACACAACACCUACAGAGCCUUGUGCCAUCCCCACAAACAGGAGUGUAAUAAUCCCUUCUCUCCUACAGACUCCGAUUUGGCUGAUUACUUUGACACGCCUGUGGAGACUACCACCAAACCAACCAAGCCAACUCCCAAGCCCUUCCCCAGGCCAGGGAAGCCAGACAAUGGCUUCUGGGAUGUCAUUCACACCACCACAACCAAGCAGCCAAAAACUACAAGAGCCCCUCAUAAGCGUAACCCAGGUGAGCAUCAUCUCCACAGCCCCUGCCACUUCACUCCAGCUCUACUGCUGGCACUGGGGGGGAUUUGAGAUGAUGGUGACACUGCCCUCACCCUGAUAUUUCCAACCUCUGUUUGCUCACCUGAAACACCUCGAGGAAAAAAACAAAUAUCAAAAACCACAGAGAAGUCAGGGCAUCUGAACAUUACCCUGCAUUUCCCAGGGGACCUCAGUGAUUUCUGGACUAUGUUUCAUUUCCAUGCUUGCUGGAAGGCUGGUUGUGAGCUGGUAAUGCUCUCCAUCAUGGUACAGCCAUGUUGGCUCCACUGGCAGACAUCCACAGGCUCAGGGCACCCUGUCACCUGGUCAUUUUGCUGCCUGCCAAGGCAGGGUUUUGAUUUGGAUCAGAAUAAACUCAGGAGUGCACUGGUGGGAGGGCUGAGG